Molecule: ribosomal RNA, 514 nt
Filed under: uncultured bacterium
Lineage: Bacteria
Description: partial 16S ribosomal RNA
Source: RNAcentral
GGAGUUAGCCGGUGCUUCUUCUGUGAGUGAUGUCCUUCCUGCCGGCUAUUAACCCGCAGGCCUUCUUCCUCACUGAAAGUGCUUUACAACCCGAAGGCCUUCUUCACACACGCGGCAUGGCUGGAUCAGGGUUGCCCCCAUUGUCCAAUAUUCCCCACUGCUGCCUCCCGUAGGAGUCUGGGCCGUGUCUCAGUCCCAGUGUGGCUGAUCAUCCUCUCAGACCAGCUACGGAUCGUCGCCUUGGUGAGCCGUUACCUCACCAACCAGCUAAUCCGACAUAGGCUCAUCCGAUAGCGCGAGGCCCGAAGGUCCCCCGCUUUCCCCCGUAGGGCGUAUGCGGUAUUAGCCUGGGUUUCCCCCAGGUUAUCCCCCACUACCGGGCAGAUUCCUAUGCAUUACUCACCCGUCCGCCGCUCGCCACCAGGGAGCAAGCUCCCCGUGCUGCCGCUCGACUUGCAUGUGUUAGGCGUCGCCGCCACGCGUCAUCUGAGCCACGAACUACGAACCCGUACGA